This 190-nucleotide unclassified non-coding RNA is filed under the name rhizosphere metagenome. Its description in RNAcentral is "partial ribosomal RNA internal transcribed spacer region". The record is from RNAcentral.
GAAUAUUAGGGCGUCUCUUCGGAGAGCCUGACCUCCACUUCUAACACUGUGCACUUGAUGGCUUAUUGAGACGGAUUAGGACUUCCGUUCUUUGAAAUCUCGAUUUGCGGCUUCAUUUUAAACAUUAGUAUAAGUAUGUAACGAAAUAUCGAAACAAAAAAAAACUUUCAACAACGGAUCUCUUGGCUCU